GUUGGCGGAGGGGGGCGUCCCUACCCUCUGCUUAACCUUAACGCGGCUCCCACAUUCGGGGCAGAGAGAAGGUGGUCUCCGGGGCAGAGCCAAGCCAAGAUGAGACAGAGCUAACAGGGACCAGAAAUGUGAAGCUUGGACCAUGACGGGAACACUCGCAACUGGGGAGAAUGGAAAACAACACCAUCAGCAACAGCUACAAAAAUGGUGCGAAGAUUAACAAGAACAUAAAACAACGGAAGUCAAACAUAAGACGACCCGACACGGAGAGAACACGUCUGAACAGCAGCUCCUGUGAUCGGGCACCUGCUCUGACUCCAUUCCCUGUCUCUGACUCUUGUCACGAGUGCCUGCGAGGAAGUGACUCAACAGUGGAGUAACAUGUUCAAACGCCCAAGCCAGUUCUGUUGCUCUGAUCCCAGAAUGAUGUAUCAUACCGCAUGACAAUGUGGAGCUCAGAGGAGUUUGGGGAGUCUCAGAGGAAACAGGAAGCCUGUGCAGGAUUCAUGUUUUCUUUCAUCUUGGAAAUUGCAGCUGGAAUGAAUCAAAUAUUAG
This is a long non-coding RNA of Clupea harengus (Atlantic herring), 555 nucleotides long. RefSeq lists it as uncharacterized. The record is from RefSeq and is a predicted model, not a curated record. NCBI's taxonomy places the organism in Eukaryota, Metazoa, Chordata, Actinopteri, Clupeiformes, Clupeidae. The transcript is spliced from 3 exons.